Molecule: ribosomal RNA, 915 nt
Filed under: uncultured bacterium
Lineage: Bacteria
Description: bacterial SSU rRNA
Rfam family: Bacterial small subunit ribosomal RNA
Source: RNAcentral
CUAGAGACCGGCGCACGGGUGCGUAACGCGUAUGCAAUCUACCCUUUGCAGAGGGAUAGCCCAGAGAAAUUUGGAUUAAUACCUCAUAGUAUAGUGAUACCGCAUGGUACUACUAUUAAAGUCACAACGGCAAAAGAUGAGCAUGCGUCCCAUUAGCUAGUUGGUAAGGUAACGGCUUACCAAGGCAACGAUGGGUAGGGGUCCUGAGAGGGAGAUCCCCCACACUGGUACUGAGACACGGACCAGACUCCUACGGGAGGCAGCAGUGAGGAAUAUUGGACAAUGGGCGCAAGCCUGAUCCAGCCAUGCCGCGUGCAGGAUGACGGUCCUAUGGAUUGUAAACUGCUUUUAUACGAGAAGAAACAUCCCGACGUGUCGGGACUUGACGGUAUCGUAAGAAUAAGGAUCGGCUAACUCCGUGCCAGCAGCCGCGGUAAUACGGAGGAUCCAAGCGUUAUCCGGAAUCAUUGGGUUUAAAGGGUCCGUAGGCGGUCUUAUAAGUCAGUGGUGAAAUCUCCCCGCUCAACGGGGAAACGGCCAUUGAUACUGUAGGACUUGAAUUAUUAGGAAGUAACUAGAAUAUGUAGUGUAGCGGUGAAAUGCUUAGAGAUUACAUGGAAUACCAAUUGCGAAGGCAGGUUACUACUAAUGGAUUGACGCUGAUGGACGAAAGCGUGGGUAGCGAACAGGAUUAGAUACCCUGGUAGUCCACGCCGUAAACGAUGGAUACUAGCUGUUGGGAGUAAUCUCAGUGGCUAAGCGAAAGUGAUAAGUAUCCCACCUGGGGAGUACGUUCGCAAGAAUGAAACUCAAAGGAAUUGACGGGGGCCCGCACAAGCGGUGGAGCAUGUGGUUUAAUUCGAUGAUACGCGAGGAANNUUACCANGGCUUAAAUGUAGAUUGACCGUUUUNNAA